GUGGAAAAAAAUAGAGAAUUGGGAGUAAAGGAGGGACCCGAAAAAGAAUUGGGUUAGAAUUGUAAUUGUUAAACUGAUUAUAAAACCCUAACCUGUUAUUCGUUUUUCAGAGUUGCAACAUUCCACAGAUCGACUGCAGCCGCAGAUAAGAUGGCCACUGCUUUAUCUUCUGGUAUUGACGAAAUCAGGCCUCCUGAUAUCACAAAAUCAUCAGAUGUUGAAGAACGAUCGUUGCCUGUUCAGAGGAUUUCGGUAUCAUCAUCCAGGGUGUUGAAGAGUGAUCUCGUUUCAGUCUUUGAAAGAGAUACUAUAGCUAUCAUCCUGGGGCAUCGGACGCUGAAGGUGAUGCAGGGCCAUCUGUGAAACUACAGGUGGCCCGUACAAGCUAAACCAUUAAUACAAAGAAUAGGAGAAAGCUUCAAGUGGUCCAUACAAGCUAAGCCAUGAUCUGGAUCAAAAGUACAGUGAGUCUCCUACAAUUGUGCAGUUCUGGGACGAGUCACACAAGAACAAAAACACAGAUGAGUGGGCAUCUGAGAGUGCUUGGUUGAUUGGGGUAUAAAUACUUGGUUAUUUUGUUGUUCAUCAGAAUCAGAAUCAGAAUCUGAAUCUGAAUCUGAAUCUGAAUCAGAUGCGAGAGAUAUUAGCAACAAAACAAGCCACGGGGAAGCAUCUCAUGAUUGGGAAUCUGGAAUUCAGCGUUAAUCCAAGCACAGGGACAAAUUAAGAAAAAACAGGUCCUCGGUCUUCUUCGAAUCCCUGCAAAUUCGGUUAUCCGGGCCCUCAAAGAUAGGAAGCAACGUCAGAGCCAGAGGAACCAUAGGUUUCAGCCAGCAGCAGCAGUAGUUGGUGGUGGUCGGCGGUUGGUGGUGGUGUUUGAUGAAGAAGAAGAAGAAGGUGGCUACUUUUAAUAAUUACAGGGGUGUUAUGGUUAUUUCACAGAAGGUCGUUCUAUGGCGGAAAAGUGGUUUUUUAGCAACCAUUUCUAUUUGCAAAGCACAGAGAUCAUCCAAGGAAAGUGUGGUUCAUACUUUACACAAAUGAAUCACAAUGGUUACAGCGGCGUAUUUUCUAAGCUUUAGUUGAAUAACAAGUAGAUAAAUAAAUCUUGAAGAUUAUUAAUUAAUGUUGUGGUUAUCUUUACUUUUUAGUGAUAAAUUUCUAAAUCUUUGUGGUUUAAUGAUGAAAAAUUGUAUUGAUAAUGAAAAGUUUUGAC
Molecule: long non-coding RNA, 1216 nt
Organism: Helianthus annuus (common sunflower)
Lineage: Eukaryota; Viridiplantae; Streptophyta; Magnoliopsida; Asterales; Asteraceae
Exons: 4
Source: RefSeq, a predicted model, not a curated record